UUUCCCCAUCAUUUUAGCUUUGAUAUCCAAUUUAGUAACGUUGUCUGCUCUUCCAUUUCUUUGAUUGCAUUAAGACUCAUUGUGAACUAGGAACAGAAGGUUCACUUUUCUUUUCACAUGUACAUUGUACAUGUAUACAGGUAUGAUGAAAGCAUCAGGAGAACAAGGUCAGCAGGAGUGGAUGUUUCCAGCCUAUGCUGGGACUGGGAGCACACAACAAUGUAGCAAUAACAACACAGUGCAGUGACAUGCACUUCACCAGUAGCACAGUACUACUAUUCAGCCAGACUGAAGUCAGGGGUGAUGAAGACGAUGCUGCCUUUGGUGUGCUGGAACUGCGGUGAGGAGGAAACGCUGCCCAUACUGGCAGAGAAGACUCAGCUGCAUACCAGACAAUAAACCCUGUUUGUCAGGCCUGCAAAAAUGUGACAGGACGACAACUGCCGUUCCACCUGAUUUAUUGCUGUUUUGAUG
Molecule: long non-coding RNA, 474 nt
Organism: Branchiostoma belcheri (Belcher's lancelet)
Lineage: Eukaryota; Metazoa; Chordata; Leptocardii; Amphioxiformes; Branchiostomatidae
Exons: 3
Source: RefSeq, a predicted model, not a curated record